UACGUAGGCAGCGAGCGUUGUUCGGAAUUACUGGGCGUAAAGAGUGUGUAGGCGGUGCUCUAAGUUCGGUGUGAAAUCUCUCGGCUUAACUGGGAGGGUGCGCCGGAAACUGGAGUGCUCGAACGUGGGAGAGGAAAGCGGAAUUCCUGGUGUAGCGGUGAAAUGCGUAGAUAUCUGGAGGAACACCGGUGGCGAAGGCGGCAUCCUGGACCGACACUGACGCUGAGGAGCGAAAGCCAGGGGAGCAAACGGG
RNAcentral lists this ribosomal RNA (253 nucleotides) under uncultured bacterium. RNAcentral's name for it is "partial 16S ribosomal RNA". It matches the Rfam family "Bacterial small subunit ribosomal RNA", at positions 524 to 776 of the family's 1533-position model. The record is from RNAcentral.